AGACGGGGUUUCACCGUGUUAGCCAGGAUGGUCUCGAUCUGCUGACCUCGCGAUCCGCCCGCCUCGACCUCCCAAAGUGCUGGGAUUACAGGCGUGAGCCACCGCGCCCGGCCUCAGCUGGUUUUUCAAAAGUCAUGGCGUGUAAUUGUCAGAACAGUGAACUUCGGAGAUUCACCGGAGGGGCGAGGCCACAGCUUGACCGCGAGCACCUGAGCAUCCUGCACCGCCUGCGACGGCCGUCAGGGGGCGCGAUGCCGCCUCACAGAACCUCAAGAGGCGCCCGGGUUCCGGCACAGACGCCCUGCGGCUCCAGGGGGCGGAGCCGAGCCGCCUCCUCAGGACCUACGCAGGAGACGCCUCCAUCCCUACAGGGACACCUGAGAGGACCCAGCCUCCUCCUCCUCAGGACCCACUCGGGAGACGCCGCUGGCUCUAUAGGAACACCUGGGGACCGUGGCCAGGGACGACCCAGCCUCCUUCUCCUCAGCUCCUCAGGAACGACUGGGGAAGCUGUGGCUUCAUGGUCCCCGAGGCUGCCCGAGGAAAGGCGGAGUCUCGCUCUGGAGUGCAGUGGCGCGAUCUCAGCUCACAGCAAGCUCCGCCUCCCGGGUUCAUGCCAUUCUCCUGUCCCGGCCUCCCGAGUAGCUGGGACUGCAGGCUGCCGCCACCAAGUCCCGCUAAUUUUUUUGUAUUUUUUUUUUUUAGUAGAGACUGGGUUUCACCUUGUAAGCCAUGAUGGUCUCGAUUUCCUGACCUCAUGAGCCACCCGUCUCGGCCUCCCAAAGUGCCGGGAUUACAGGCGUGAGCCACGGUGCCCGGCCGCGACUCUUUACAAGGACUCCUUGGGAGGCUUCUAAAGCCCAAAUGUUGUUUGAUGUAAGAAUUCCUCCCUUUUGGUCAGCCUCUCAAUUUUGAGAUAUUGAUCAAAACUUUGGGCAUUGGUGUCACUCUUUGUUAUCGUUGUAAGUUGAGUUAUUAGGACUUAUUUGCUUUCAGUGUGGCAUUUUCAAGUUUUAUUUGGUCUCAGUGCCCUCUGGGCAAUAGCAGAACACUGUGUUGUGUAAGGCGGAAAUAGAGCAAUAGAAAAUAACAACUGAUUUGUUAAUAUCAGAUUACUUCAAGUUACUUGUUUUGGUAAGAAUUAAAGCAGAGGGGACUUCUUUAUGCUGACUCAGGUAGACUGGAGUCUCUUCAGGGAAAAAGGGAGCUCUUUUGGGAUCUAUCUGCUUCCUUAAAGUUUCAGCUUCGUUGUGUGUCAUUCAGCGUGAGUGUCUCCAUUCUGGUUUUGCCUGCUCAGUGUGGCCUAAUGCAGGAGUUGUGACCAAAACAAUGACCUCCCGUAAUUUGUUCAACAGUUCUCCCCUUUUGGUUAGGUUCCUACCUAGGUGAGGGUGUGACUAAAAACUUAGGGCAUUAGCACUAUUCUCAGUAACUAUCAUUUUAGGUUUCCGGUCUCAACACAUCAUUUAAGAAGUCAGUAAAGCUUUCUUCUAUUGUGACAGCAUAUUUAAUACUGAGAAGGAAAAGAAAAUUUUUAUCUUGCAAAUGUGAGCUUCCUCUAAAUUAUCAGGUCCAGAGAGGCGUGGGAAUGAGGCAGCAGUCACGUCCCAUUUCCCGCUUAGCUAAAUAAUCAUAUCUUGAAGCUGCUUGCUAUGUAGACUAGACUGACUGUCAUCAGCUAUAGAUUAACCUAAGAGUGUCUUUGAAUAUUUUUUCCAGUGGCAAAUAUUUGCUUCUGUUGUAUCGUAGCUGAAAGAAAUGCUGGGAAACAAAAUAAAGGCAAGCAUUCAUUAGAAUAAGUGAUCCAGUCACAAGGAAUCAAUUUGAACUUUUUUUUUUUUUCACAAAGUCAUACUUUGAAAACAUCCAGCCGUAAAUUGAAAUAGUCUCCAAAAUGUGAAUUUUUUUCCCUGGUUCUAAGAUGACCAGCUUUCUUAGAGAGUGAACUACACCAUAAGAAAAAUGAUACGACCAUGUUUACACAUAUAUGUUAUCUUAACAUAAAACAUGUAAAAGGGGCAUUUCUUUGAAAGUAUGUAUUAGUCUGUAUAAUUUACUUUGCAGUAUCAUGAAUGCUCUUAUUUUUAAAAGUAGGAGUAGUUACUGCCAAUUACUAAUUUUUAGUAGAAAUAAUUUAGCAGAUAUCUGAAAAAAUUACAAUUUUUAAAUAGAGGUUUUAUUUUAAAUUAGUUUUAGAUUCAUACAGAAAUUGGGAAGAAAAUGCAGAUUUCCCAUGUAGACGCAACCUAGUUUCCCCUCUUUUUAACAUAUCAACAUGUAUCAGAUAGGUUUAACAUCUUUUUUUUUUUUUUUUCCAGACAGAGUCUCAACCAGGCUGGAGUGCAGUGGCAUGAUCUCGGCUCACUGCAACCUCCGCCUCCCAGGUUCAAGCAAUUCUCCUGCCUCAGCCUCCUGAGUAGCUGGUAUUACAGGCGCCUGCCAUCACGCCCGGCUAAUUUUUGUAUUUUUAGUAGAGAUGAGGUUUCACCACGUUGGCCAGGCUGGUCUUGAACUCCUGAUCUUAGGUGAUCCGCCCGCCUCAGCCUCCCAAAGUGCUGGGAUUACAGGCAUGAGCCACCACUCCUGACCAACAUCUUAUAUCAUUUCUUGUCAUAGUUAAUGACUGGAUAUUACUAUAUUAUUAAAUAAGCUCACAUCUUAUUUGGUUUCCCUUAGUUCUGCCUUUUUCUCUCCCAGGAUCCUAUCUAGGAUCCCAUAGGACAUUUAGUCAUCAUGUCAGGCUCUUCUUGGCUGUGGCAGUCUCUCAGACUUUACUUCUGAGGACCUGGAACAGUGUUAGGAGGAUUGGUCAGGUAUUGUGUAGAAUGUCCUCCAUUGUGGUUUACUUGGGGUUUUUCUCAUAAUCAGCCUGGGUUUAGGGGUUUGGGGGAAGCAGAGCAGAUGUGUAGUGUGUCCGCAAAAAGAGUCAAAGACUGUAAAAUAUUUGAAGAGAUGUAUUCUGAGCCAAAUAUGAGUGACCAUGGCCCAUGACACAGCCCUCAGGAGACCCUGAGAACAUGUGCCCAAGGUCGUUGGGGUGCAGGUUGGUUCUAUACAUUUUAGGGAGAUAGGAGACAUCAAUCAAGUGUAUUUAAGAUAUAUAUUGGUUCGGUCCAGAAAGGUGGGACAACCCAAAGGAUUAGGGUGGGGUGGGGCUUCCAGGUUAUAGGUACAUUUAAAAUUUUUCUGAUUGGCAGUUUGUUGAAAGACUUACUAUCAAUAGAAAGGAGUGUCUGGGUUAUGAUAAGGGGUUAUGGAGACCAAGGUUUUAUCAUGGAGAUGAAGCUUCCAGGUAGCAGGCUUCAGAGAGAAUAGAUUGUAAAUGUUUCUUAUCAGAUUUAAGGUCGUGUUGAUGUUAAAUGCUGAUUGGCUUUUCCUGAAUUCCAAAAGGGAGGAGGGCAUACUGAGGCAUGUCUGACCACCUCUUUCCCAUCAUAGCCUGAACCAGUCUUCCAGGUUAACUUUGGUGUCCCCUGGUGGAGAGGUGGUUGUGGGAAAGAUCUUUGAAUUUUAUUUUUGGUUUGCAAGUGCUAGUCUA
Long non-coding RNA from Pan troglodytes (chimpanzee), 3538 nucleotides. NCBI's taxonomy places the organism in Eukaryota, Metazoa, Chordata, Mammalia, Primates, Hominidae. The record is from Ensembl.